CCAAUAGCGUAUAUUAAAGUUGUUGCAGUUAAAAAGCUCGUAGUUGAAUUUCGGGAUCAGUACGCUGGUCAUGCCUUUGGUAUGCACUGGUGUCACUGGUUUCUCCCUUCUGAAGAUCCGUGAUGUCAUUAAUUUGGUGUCGCGGGGAAUCAGGACUGUUACUUUGAAAAAAUUAGAGUGUUUAAAGCAGGCUCACGCUUGAAUACAUUAGCAUGGAAUAAUGAAAUAGGGCGUUUGACCCUAUUUUGUUGGUUUCUAGGAUCGACGUAAUGAUUAAUAGGGAUAGUUGGGGGCAUUAGU
This 300-nucleotide ribosomal RNA is filed under the name Glomus sp. RNAcentral describes it as "SSU rRNA". It matches the Rfam family "Eukaryotic small subunit ribosomal RNA", at positions 591 to 895 of the family's 1831-position model. The record is from RNAcentral. Lineage: Eukaryota; Fungi; Glomeromycota; Glomeromycetes; Glomerales; Glomeraceae.